This 546-nucleotide ribosomal RNA is filed under the name uncultured bacterium. RNAcentral describes it as "bacterial SSU rRNA". It matches the Rfam family "Bacterial small subunit ribosomal RNA", at positions 162 to 697 of the family's 1533-position model. The record is from RNAcentral.
GGUAAUACCGAAUAAUGUUGUUGAGUUAUGACUUGAUAAAGAAAGGGGCUUUGGCCCCGCCUUAAGAUGAGCCCGCGUCCCAUUAGCUAGUUGGUAAGGUAAAGGCCUACCAAGGCGAUGAUGGGUAGCCGGCCUGAGAGGGUGAACGGCCACACUGGGACUGAGAUACGGCCCAGACUCCUACGGGAGGCAGCAGCUAAGAAUAUUCCGCAAUGGACGAAAGUCUGACGGAGCGACGCCGCGUGGAUGAGGAAUGCCGAAAGGUUGUAAAAUCCUUUUGCGGAUGAAGAAUAAGUAGUGGAGGGAAUGCCAUUAUGAUGACGUUAGUCCGUGAAUAAGCCCCGGCUAAUUACGUGCCAGCAGCCGCGGUAACACGUAAGGGGCGAGCGUUGUUCGGAAUUAUUGGGCGUAAAGGGCGCGUAGGCGGUUGUGCAAGUCUGGCGUGAAAGGCAAGUGCUUAACACUUCGACUGCGCUGGAAACUGUGUAACUAGAGUCAUGGAGGGGGAGUUGGAAUUCCUGGUGUAGGGGUGAAAUCUGUAGAUAU